UUUUGGUUUUACUAAUUGGGGUCAGCACUGUUUUAAUUUCCUACUUUUUAUUUUAAUGCAAGGAAUUGUGAGGAAUUUACUGUUAAUUAAAAUUAUCAUUACACUGUACCUAGGUUAAUAAUGAAGCCUGCCGGGUGACAAUCGUUUUAACAACUUAACAUAAUGUUAAUGGUGAUAACAGCUUGACAGCCAACAGCAACAACAAUUAUCCAGAACAACUAAUAUCAUUGUUUAAUUUUCAAUUCAACUAACGUAACAAUUGGUACUAGAGUAAGCAGUUAAUAUGCAUUGAUGAUUAUGUUGGACACGAAACUGAAUUGGAGGACCAAAAAUGAGGCCAAAAGAUGCUAGAGAAAAGGGAAGAGAAAGAAAAGAAAAAAGAAGAAGAAAUUAUAUUUUUCUUUGGAUUCCUUAUGUUGUUGUUAUUUGGCAUUUGCUUUAUUAUCGAUGAUUUUCUAGCCACGCGUCAAACACACCAACCCUCUUCGCUUCAUCCACUCCUACUGACAAUAUAAAUAUCAAUGAAGGCAAAGGUCGAUCCAUCUUGGUACACCUUGAAGGGCCAACAGGAGGACGAAGAGCUUGUGUUAACUUGUAGAUCAUUUUUUCCUUGAUCUAACACUCGAUUCAUAAGACGAUGAUUAUCAGUAAACACGCUAUGAAAGGUCAUCUCUAUGAACCUAUGCAGAGUAGGUUAAACAUAUAAAGUGCCUGAAGAUGAUGAUGGGGCUGAUGGGGAUGAGAAGUAGAGUGAGUGAGUGAGUAUGAGGGAAUGAGAUGAAGAGAAUGAGGGAAAGAUGAAAAGAUGAAAAGAGGGAGGUUGGAAUAUUAAAGGUGCAUUACAGAAUGGAAAUGCCUUUUAAGAUACAUUUCGCCGCAUUAAACAGAGUCUCUGCUAUAAUCAAUAGAAUGCGUUGAGGUUCUGACAAUAACAAUGUAUUUGCUUACCUUUUGAUGUUGUGUUAGUUUGGUCAAGCAGAUGGACCAUACGUUGGUCAAGAGCAUAACCUUACGGCCGCUCAGACCUUUACUUUCAUCAAUCUUCUUAAAGGUGUACAAUUUAUUUGCCAAUCAUAAUAAUAAUAAUAAUAAUCAUGAUUAAACAUUAAA
Tetranychus urticae (two-spotted spider mite) is the source of this 1110-nucleotide long non-coding RNA. RefSeq lists it as uncharacterized. The record is from RefSeq and is a predicted model, not a curated record. NCBI's taxonomy places the organism in Eukaryota, Metazoa, Arthropoda, Arachnida, Trombidiformes, Tetranychidae.